AAUUUUAACUUUAAUUUUAAUUUUAAUUUUAAUUCUAUUAUAGGUGAUCCACAAUCAAUUCAGAACCUGGUCUUCUAUGGUGGCUCACAGUUCCUGCACCCUACAAUAUCGUGAAUUUUCUUCCUCUUCAUCUAAUGACAUGAAUAUGCUCCAGUGGAUCCUAGGAUAUCUUUCACAUGAGGUUACCCUUGCCCUUUGGAUGUCAGGUGGAACAAAGGGAUGGAAGAUUUUUUGUACUGGGACAUUCAGUAAACCCCUAGGCCUACCUAUUGUCUAGUCAGAGUUAGAGAAGCAAAUGAUGUCUGUGAGGGCCUACAAGGCACAAGAGGAUGAAAGUUUAACUUAAAGUUUAGAUGCUGAUAUUCUAGCUAGCAAUAAUGUAUGAUUGCCUCAUGUACUACUCUUUUUUUAUAUUUCUCUCCUAAUGUAUAAAGAUGGAUUUCAAAAGAUAGGCAGCCUGGGAUUCAAAUUCUGAUCAUCUUUUCACUUUGUAAACUAAUGGAUAUAUUUUUUUAAAACAUUGUGUUAAUACACGCCAAUGCCAAAGGCUUUUUACAGACUCAUGCGGAGUGGGAUGAUGCCCAGAAUGUCGAUAAAUUGACAGAAUAAUAUGAAGAACCCAACAGUCAUGUGCCAUGAAUUCUGCAGGCACAUUUGGACAUGAGGGUGAGCCAGAAGAUCAUUCUAUUUGGGAAAAUUUAAAUUGGGUGCAAGAAGCAUUAGCUAACAGUCUGAACCAAGGUAUGAUCCAAACUGAUAAAACUUGAUGAAGUUGGAAGAAGCAAAAGGGAGUUGGUAUGGAUCCUCAGAAUAAGACAGAAACACAAGGAGUUUCAAGGGCAUUUGACAACAUGAAGUGCCAGCUAUAUUAGGGCACAGCAGAAAAAAAAUGUUUUCUGGACAGACUUAAUUUCUGAAGUGCCUUCUCCUCUUA
This 934-nucleotide long non-coding RNA is filed under the name Pan paniscus (pygmy chimpanzee). Its description in RNAcentral is "lncRNA (ENSPPAG00000044185.1)". Lineage: Eukaryota; Metazoa; Chordata; Mammalia; Primates; Hominidae. The record is from RNAcentral.